CAAACAGGCUUCAUUUACGUUCACUCAGCGACUAAACCAGAAAACCCCGCCGCCGGCAGUGUGCCACAAGCCAGGGGCAUUUUGGACAUCUUCAGAAUCUUUCAAGCCACCUACAUUCAAGCUGUCGGGCUAAUUCCGAUAAAGACGACGCCAAAUUUAAGAUCUGACGGAGAUUUCACAUUAACGAUAUGGCCAAAGAGAACAACUCCUCCGCUAUGGAUGUGGACAACCAGAAUUCGGAAUCCGUUGAUCAGAUUAAUAGCCCUAGGUUCUCUAUCAAUGGUAAUUUACUCUCCCAUAAAGCUCUAGACAGCUAAUUUUGAGGUGAUAAUUUAGUUUUUUUUGGUGAAUUUACAGUUUUAUAGCUCUUGAAAUCCGCUCAGAUGCAGCAUGGAUUGCGGUUUGGCGAUUACGCUCGUUACCGGUAUAACCUACGCUUGUACACUUAUGGUAUAUGUUUAUGAGUAAUUUGGUACGAUGAAGUUCCGGGAAGUAGGUUUAAUUUUUGUAAGAAAUGCCGUUUGAUAUUGUUUUUACCAGUAUAUAAGCGUAAGUGUGCUCUAUAUAGGUGUAUGAGGGAAUUUAUGACAUUGAUCAUUAGAGGUGGCAGGGUUAAAUUUGUGAAAAAUGUGGUGUGAUAGAGUUGUACUAUUGAGGGAAUGUGAAAUUGACCAGUUUUUACAAAUUUUUUAGGAGGUACUGUACUGCUCGGCUCAGGAGAUUGUACAAGUCGUUGAAAUUCACGCAUGACCGUGGUAAAUAUAGUAAAAGGGCGAUUACAGCUUCUAUGGUCACUGAAGUGAGGUAAUAGAUUGCCAAGACCAAUGGUUGAAUUUGAUUGACAUUACAGUUGGUAAAUAUUUUAAUUUCGCUUUUGCUAUUUGAAGAACAAAUAUGCUGUUUUGUCUCUCAUUAAUAAUUUCUUAAUGGUCGUUAAUCUAUCCUGAUUCUGCGUGGUGGUUGGGGACACUGUAGGUAUCUUCAUGUGGUUCUUUAUACAGGAGAAAGAGCUUGGAGCCAUGCUAUGGAAAAGAAAACGCUGCCAGAUGGUCCAAAUGCACGUCAGCGUGGCUAUCUGAUUGGUAGGCUGCGAAAAGCAGUCAAAUGGGCUACUUUGUUUCAAGACUUGUGUUCCAUUAAGGGAGAUUCUAGGACAUCUUUGGAAGUAGAGGUGUGCUGAUUAAUUCAUCAUUUUGCACUGCUGCUGUGCCCUGUAUACAAAUAAAGCUAUUUUCGGUCAAAAUACAAUAAGAAUAUGCAAAUUAAGGUUCUAUUGGUAAAUAUUAGUUAUAAUCAUACAAAAAGAGAAGAUAGCCCACAAGUUGGGCCCAAUUACAUACAUGUGUUUAUACUAUUAUUAUUAAACAAAAUCAAAUAGAUAUAUAUAUAUAUAUAUGUGUGUGUGUGUGUGUGUUUAAAAAAAUGUAUUCACACACAUAAUUAGUGAGAAAUGAAAAUUAUAUAGGUAAAUGCUAUUUAGUAUUAGUAUAUACUACUAAUGCUAUUUAGUGACAAAUGCUAUUUAGUAUAUACUACUAAUGCUAUUUAGUGACAAAUGCUAUUUAGUAUAUACUACUAAUGCUAUUUAGUGACAAAUGCUAUUUAGUAUUAGUAUAUACUACUAAUACUUUAUUAUAUUAUAUAGGUAAAUGCUAUUAAUAAUAAUUAGUAUAUGGUAUUAUCAUCAUAUCAUGUACUUAUAAUACUAAUAAUAUAUAAUAAUGUACAAUAUAUUUAUAUUAUUUUAGUAUUUAUUAACUGUUAUAUGACUACAAUAAUGCAUAGUAAUGCAUUACAAUAUAAGAUAACUAUAAUAGUUAUUAUUUUAUACAUGAGUAACAUACUAACAUGACUAGAAUUAGAUAAUAAUUAAUACAUAUAUGUAUAAUACUAAAUAUUAAACAAUAAACAUAAUUAGUAAUUAGAAUUUAGAUAUUGGUAAUUUGAUACAUCAUUCAUGUUUGAAUUAUUGAAUAUUUGAAUGCGUAAUCUAUAACUUGCAAGUAUUAGUGUACUCUAAAUUUACAUUACAUAUUCACUAAUCUUAAGGUUUUAAGUAUAGAUAAGACAACUAAGCAGUGUAAGUGAAUGUAUAUGAAUUGCAAAUCAAUGUAUUAGUGUAUUGACUUUCACAAUAACAUAUGUAAGUAAAUAAGUUUAAUUUUGAUUUGAAAUAAAUUAUAAGUUUGUAACUAACAUAACUUAUCACUAAUCAUUGUAAUUUGUAAGUUUGUAACUAAUAUUACUUAUUAUUAAUCAUUGUAAAUUAUAAAUUCAUAAAUUAUCACUAAUCAUUGUACAGUCUAAGGUUUAUUCUAGUUUAAAUUAAUCACUUUUUAUGUGUUCCUUAAAUCAUAGACUAAGGAUUGUAGGUAUAAGUGAUCAAAUAAGUUAAAAUUCAUAUUAUCUAUUUACUAAUCUUAAGGCUUUAAGUAUAGACAAAAUAACUAAGCUGUGUAAGUGAAUGCAUGUGAGUUGCAAAUCAAGUAAAUAAGUUUUAUUUUGAUUUGAAAUAAAUUAUAAGUUUGUAACUAAUGUAACUUAUCACUAAUCAUUGAUUCAUUGUAAUUUAUAAGUUUGUAACUAAUAUUACUUAUUAUUAAUCAUUGUAAAUUAUAAAUUCAUUGUAACUACUAACUAAAUUAGUUUAAAUUAAUCACUUUUUAUGUGUUUCUUAAAUCAUAGACCAAGGAUUUUAGGUAUAAGUGAUCAAAUAAAUGCCAAUUAAACCACAAAAUGAUUUGAACAUAAGUAAUGUGUUCAAUUAUGAAUAAAUUUGGGGAUCAAAUCAGUAAUAAUUUUUAAAUCAUUGAGGAGCAUAAUGAAUGUAUUAUAAUUUAGGAGCCCCAAUUUAUAAAUUAAAAAUUACAAAAUCACUUCAUUUGGGAAGAGUCGGAUUUCAUCUUCAGCUGAUGACAAGUGAGAAAACAACCAUUGCAAAUUUGCAAUAUUGCAUGGUGCCGUGACUGCCGUCACCUAGGGCUUUCACAGCACUAACACUCCCAAGUCCCAAUUCCCAAAUCGAAGCUGCUCUCCGCCUCUCCGGCCUCCGCCAGUCCGCCGCGCUCUACGCCUCCUGUCGGCUGUGUCCUGCCGUGCUGGUUCAUCGCUGCCGAGUGUCGAAGACGAAGCACCAAGAUCUCACUGGUUCAUCGCUGGUUCAUCACUGCUCAUCUCUGGCUCGCUUAGGUAAGUGCUCCUCUGUUUUUGGCUCUGUGUAUCUGGCAUUAAAAUGGGCCAAGAUCGACUAGGAAAUUUGUUAUCCUGAAUUGAUAAGGGGACGAAAUCUGAGCUUCGAAUUGCAAACUCUAACUGUUGUAGUAGUUUAGAUUAGGUGUGAUAUAACAUAAGCUUUGUAUUUUAUACACAAGAAAGCUCUCUCCAGUUGUGCAGCCUUUAAAAGUUAAGGCCUUGGGGAAAAAUUCCACCUUUUACCCGUUAGAAAAAUUAAAAAGGAAAAAACUUGCUAAAAUGAAAAUUUUACCUCCUUGUCCGUGGAGAUUCUCAAUCUCUGGUGCACAUCUAGUGAAAGUACGGCUCCAGAAGUUGUACCUAGGAUUCUGGAUAUGAAUUUUCUGCAAUGUGUAAAAGAAGAAACAUCUAUGUAUAAAUAAGCAGAAAGGUCACCUUAAUAAGCUCAAUAAAAGUAAUCAGCUCCUGAAUAAGUAAUGGAAAGCAUUGGAGCAAGUCUAGAACAUAUCGAAGAGAGCAAUUUAGCUUUUAUAACUACAAACCAGUAGAAGGCCUACAUAUGUCUAGCUUCUUUACAUAUUUUCAGUCUAAUAUUUGUAGCUUUCUCAUGGCUUGCGGGGGUUGGUAGUUGCUGAACUAUAAAGAUUGGUUUUAUAUAUUCUCUUAAUUUGCUUCAGGGUUAUUUUGUAACUACUUGAACUCAUUAAUUUGUAGUAGCUUCUAGUUAUUUUACAAAUUACAACUACGCAGUAUAGAUUUUAUUACCCUACUGUGGCUUAGGAACUAUGAUAUGAGGAAUUAGAAUCAUCCAUUUUUUGCUGCUCUUGUGGGCACCACUAGUUGGUGGGUAAUUGCUGAAUUUGAAAGUUUCAUGUCAAGCAAUCCAGCUUGCCUUUGAAUCUUCCCAAAAAGCCACCUUUGAUCUCAUUUUUUGGUCAAAUCGAGUCAAAAAGCUUGAUAAGACUCGACUCGAUAAGGCUUGACUAAAGGUCGAGCCUUAUCGAGUCGAGUCUCGAGCCUAAAGGAAAUUCUUCGAGUCGAGCUUCGAGUAUCCAUUUUUUAGACUCGAUCGAGCUCGAGUUUCUGUGUAUAGUCGAGUCGAGUCGUAUAGCGCUCGAGUAUAGCGAUACUCGAGCUCGACUCGGCUCGAUUAUAUCCUUAUGACAUUAAACAGUAGACAACGCAGGGGAGACUAGGAUUUUUAUGUCGAGACCAAGCAGGCUUCAUUUACGUUCACUCAGCGACUAAACCAGAAAACCCCGCCGCCGGCAGUGUGCCACGAGCCAGGGGCAUUUGGGACAUCUUCAGAAUCUUUCAAGCCACCUACAUUCAAGCCGUCGGGCUAAUUCCGAUAAAGACGACGCCAAAUUUAAGAUCUGACGGAGAUUUCACAUUAACGAUAUGGCCAAAGAGAACAACUCCUCCGCUAUGGAUGUGGACAACCA
This 4637-nucleotide long non-coding RNA is filed under the name Coffea arabica (coffee). Its description in RNAcentral is "long non-coding RNA (CARA_LNC006254)". The record is from RNAcentral. Lineage: Eukaryota; Viridiplantae; Streptophyta; Magnoliopsida; Gentianales; Rubiaceae.